GACGAACGCUGGCGGCGUGCCUAAUACAUGCAAGUCGAGCGAGCUUGCUUAGAUGAAUUUGGUGCUUGCACCAAAUGAAACUAGAUACAAGCGAGCGGCGGACGGGUGAGUAACACGUGGGUAACCUGCCCAAGAGACUGGGAUAACACCUGGAAACAGAUGCUAAUACCGGAUAACAACACUAGACGCAUGUCUAGAGUUUAAAAGAUGGUUCUGCUAUCACUCUUGGAUGGACCUGCGGUGCAUUAGCUAGUUGGUAAGGUAACGGCUUACCAAGGCAAUGAUGCAUAGCCGAGUUGAGAGACUGAUCGGCCACAUUGGGACUGAGACACGGCCCAAACUCCUACGGGAGGCAGCAGUAGGGAAUCUUCCACAAUGGACGCAAGUCUGAUGGAGCAACGCCGCGUGAGUGAAGAAGGGUUUCGGCUCGUAAAGCUCUGUUGGUAGUGAAGAAAGAUAGAGGUAGUAACUGGCCUUUAUUUGACGGUAAUUACUUAGAAAGUCACGGCUAACUACGUGCCAGCAGCCGCGGUAAUACGUAGGUGGCAAGCGUUGUCCGGAUUUAUUGGGCGUAAAGCGAGUGCAGGCGGUUCAAUAAGUCUGAUGUGAAAGCCUUCGGCUCAACCGGAGAAUUGCAUCAGAAACUGUUGAACUUGAGUGCAGAAGAGGAGAGUGGAACUCCAUGUGUAGCGGUGGAAUGCGUAGAUAUAGGAAGGAACACCAGUGGCGAAGGCGACCACCUGGACUAAUACUGACACUGAGGUGCGAAAGCGUGGGGAGCAAACAGG
This 788-nucleotide ribosomal RNA is filed under the name uncultured Lactobacillus sp. Its description in RNAcentral is "bacterial SSU rRNA". It matches the Rfam family "Bacterial small subunit ribosomal RNA", at positions 28 to 776 of the family's 1533-position model. Lineage: Bacteria; Bacillati; Bacillota; Bacilli; Lactobacillales; Lactobacillaceae. The record is from RNAcentral.